GAUGAAGAACGUAGCGAAACGCGAUAUGUAAUGUGAAUUGCAGAAUUCAGUGAAUCAUCGAAUCUUUGAACGCACCUUGCGCCCCUUGGUAUUCCGAGGAGCAUGCCUGUUUGAGUGUCGUGAAUACUCUCAACUUCAACCCUUUUUUCGGAAAGGGAGGAAGGUUGGACUUGGGUGUUUGUUGAAGUGCGAGCUUCGACUCAUCCUAAAUGCAUUAGCGAUCUGCCUCGAUCACACACAAUGUGAUAAUUAAAACUAAAGCAUUGUUUAAUGAUCAAGUCGAGACUGCUUCUAACUGUCGCAAGACAAUAACGUGCAUACAUUUGUGCAUGUCAUUUGACCUCAAAUCAGGUAGGACUACCCGCUGAACUUAAGCAUAUCAAUAAGCGGAGGA
This 394-nucleotide unclassified non-coding RNA is filed under the name soil metagenome. RNAcentral describes it as "partial contains 5.8S ribosomal RNA, internal transcribed spacer 2, and large subunit ribosomal RNA". The stretch from base 1 to 120 matches the Rfam family "5.8S ribosomal RNA", at positions 35 to 154 of the family's 154-position model. The record is from RNAcentral.